GCGCCCGUAGCUCAGGUGGAUAGAGCAGGGGACUCCUAAGCCCAAGGUCGCGUGUUCGAGUCACGCCGGGCGCGCCA
Molecule: transfer RNA, 77 nt
Filed under: Truepera sp.
Lineage: Bacteria; Thermotogati; Deinococcota; Deinococci; Trueperales; Trueperaceae
Description: tRNA-Arg
Rfam family: tRNA
About the family: Transfer RNA (tRNA) molecules are approximately 80 nucleotides in length. Their secondary structure includes four short double-helical elements and three loops (D, anti-codon, and T loops).
Source: RNAcentral